UUUCUUUUUCUCUCGGAAGGUUUUGGACCUUCACCUUGCGCAGAAGCCUUCCUCACGCCCCAAAGUUUCUCUCUUAAAAUUUUUACGCACGUCCCACCUUUCUCCUCUUUUUAAAACAACGUCAAACAUGUCUUAUCUACGUGAGAGGAUAAAGACAAGAGGUUACACAUUUGAAUUCAAAUCAAAUUUGAAUUCAAACGAAAACCAACUUAUCCCUAUCCUUUUGGGCGUGAGAAGAGAAGGGGCGUGGCUCUUUGUGCGUAGAAAAUAUUUCACGAGAAAUCUUUUCUCGUGUAAGUAAUGUGGCGCACAAAAUGGAUAAGGAUGAAAGGGCAAGUGAUAAGUUAUCCAUUCAAAUUCAAACAUGCUUUGAAUUUGAAUGGCUAACUAAUUAUUUUAUCCAUCCAUAUGGCGCACAAAUGAGGGCGUGGGGAAGGAUUUUGCAUGAGAAAAAUUUCACGAGAAGUUUCUUCUCGUGAAUUCAAAUGGGUGCAAGGAAGUUGGGUGUCGCCGGGAAUUUAAAACAAGGUGGUUUGAUUCAAAUUGAGCCAACCUAGUUUAAAAUAGGU
RNAcentral lists this long non-coding RNA (569 nucleotides) under Elaeis guineensis (African oil palm). RNAcentral describes it as "long non-coding RNA (EGUI_LNC039681)". Lineage: Eukaryota; Viridiplantae; Streptophyta; Magnoliopsida; Arecales; Arecaceae. The record is from RNAcentral.